AUGUGCAGGUCUUGUCAGCCAUGGGCUUUGCUGCCAGUAAUCUGCAUGUUCCCCCAACAUCAGCACCUUCAGCUCUCCUCACUGGAUGGUCUGGUCUCUGCAGAGAGGCUGCCUGGCCUCAUGGUGGGAGGUGGAGCUUGUGGUGAACUGCCUGCCACAUGCCAUAGUUGGACCAAGGAAGCAGCCGAGGAGCCCCACCGCUCGCUGUUCUCAAAUGCAGCCCAGAUGUUUCCAUGCAGGGAGCAGGGAGAACGGGGCAAUGGAGGAGCAGCAGUGCACCUGGAGGACUGACUCUGAAGGGCAGUAGUGACGCUGUGCAGGGCAGAGAUGGAGUUUCACUAUGUUGGCCAGGCUGGUCUUGAACUCCUGACCCCAGAUGAUCCACCCGCCUUGGCCUCCCAGAGUGCUGGGAUUAUAGGUGUGAGCCACCAUGCCCAGCCGAGAGUAGAUUUUAAAUGUUCUCAUCACAAAAAG
This 474-nucleotide long non-coding RNA is filed under the name Callithrix jacchus (white-tufted-ear marmoset). RNAcentral describes it as "lncRNA (ENSCJAG00000084745.1)". The record is from RNAcentral. Lineage: Eukaryota; Metazoa; Chordata; Mammalia; Primates; Cebidae.